RNAcentral lists this ribosomal RNA (498 nucleotides) under uncultured bacterium. RNAcentral's name for it is "partial 16S ribosomal RNA". It matches the Rfam family "Bacterial small subunit ribosomal RNA", at positions 29 to 523 of the family's 1533-position model. The record is from RNAcentral.
AUUGAACGCUGGCGGCAUGCUUUACACAUGCAAGUCGAACGGUAACAGGCCGCAAGGCGCUGACGAGUGGCGAACGGGUGAGUAAUUCAUCGGAACGUGCCCAGUCGUGGGGGAUAACGCAGCGAAAGCUGCGCUAAUACCGCAUCCGAUCCCUGGAUGAAAGCGGGGGACCGAGAGGCCACGCGCGAUUGGACCGGCCGAUGUCAGAUUAGGUAGUUGGUGGGGGAAAGGCUCACCAAGCCAACGAACUGUAGCUGGUCUGGGAGGACGACCGGCCAUACUGGGACUGAGACACGGCCCAGACUCCUACGGGAGGCAGCAGUGGGGAAUUUUGGACAAUGGGCGCAAGCCUGAUCCAGCAAUGCCGCGUGCAGGAAGAAGGCCUUCGGGUUGUAAACUGCUUUUGUACGGAACGAAACGGUCCUGGUUAAUACCUGGGGCUGAUGACGGUACCGUAAGAAUAAGCACCGGCUAACUACGUGCCAGCAGCCGCCGUAA